GGAGGGUGCAAGCAUUGAUCGGAAUUAUUGGGCGUAAAGGGCGCGUAGGCGGCCAGGUAAGUCAGAUGUGAAAUUCCGCGGCUCAACCGCGGAGCUGCAUUUGAAACUGCUUGACUUGAGCAUAGUUAGGGAAAACGGAAUUCCACGUGUAGCGGUGAAAUGCGUAGAUAUGUGGAAGAACACCGGUGGUGAAGACGGUUUUCUGGGCUAUUGCUGACGCUGAGGCGCGAAAGCUAGGGGAGCAAAC
This 247-nucleotide ribosomal RNA is filed under the name uncultured Chlamydia sp. RNAcentral's name for it is "partial 16S ribosomal RNA". It matches the Rfam family "Bacterial small subunit ribosomal RNA", at positions 527 to 773 of the family's 1533-position model. Lineage: Bacteria; Pseudomonadati; Chlamydiota; Chlamydiia; Chlamydiales; Chlamydiaceae. The record is from RNAcentral.